AUUGAACGCUGGCGGCAUGCUUUACACAUGCAAGUCGAACGGCAGCACGGGUGCUUGCACCUGGUGGCGAGUGGCGAACGGGUGAGUAAUGCAUCGGAACGUAUCCAAUAAUGGGGGAUAACGCAUCGAAAGGUGUGCUAAUACCGCAUACGCCCUGAGGGGGAAAGUGGGGGAUCGUAAGACCUCACGUUGAUGGAGCGGCCGAUGGCAUGUUAGCUAGUUGGUGAGGUAAAGGCUCACAAAGGCGACGAUCUGUAGAUGGUCUGAGAGGACGACCAGCCACACUGGAACUGAGACACGGUCCAGACUCCUACGGGAGGCAGCAGUGGGGAAUUUUGGACAAUGGGCGCAAGCCUGAUCCAGCCAUGCCGCGUGAGUGAAGAAGGCCUUCGGGUUGUAAAGCUCUUUCGCAAGGGAAGAAACGAUUCAGGAUAAUACCCUGGGUUAAUGACGGUACCUUGAUAAGAAGCACCGGCUAACUACGUGCCAGCCGCCGCUGUAA
Molecule: ribosomal RNA, 502 nt
Filed under: uncultured bacterium
Lineage: Bacteria
Description: partial 16S ribosomal RNA
Rfam family: Bacterial small subunit ribosomal RNA
Source: RNAcentral